AUGUUAAAGGACAGGUCCGUUGUCUUUACGGGGUCGUGGGAGUCGGCCGGAGAUGACCUGAAGUCUCCAAAGAGUUACAAAUAAUUAUUCUAGUCGAAUAGUGUUGAAUAACUAACCAUAGAAGGUGGUAGUCCUGUAGGCGAAAGAAUAAUUACUCUUGUCGAAUUUCCCGAGUAACGCGGGACACGAGAAAUCCUGUGUGAAUCUGGGUGGACCAUCAUCCAAGGCUAAAUACUCCUCUGUAACCGAUAGUGAACUAGUACCGUGAGGGAAAGGUGAAAAGUACCCCUGUUAGGGGCGUGAAAUAGAACCUGAAACCGUAUACCUACAAGCAGUCGAAGCCAGUAUUUAUAUUGGUGACGGCGUGCCUUUUGUAAAAUGAGCCGGCUAGUUAUUUUCAGUGGCAAGGUUAAGGUGAGGAACCGAAGCCGAAGCGAAAGCGAGUCUUAAUAGGGCGAUUUAGUCACUGGGAAUAGACGCGAAGCGGAGUGAUCUAUCCAUGACCAGGAUGAAGUAUGGGUAAUACCAUACGGAGGUCCGAACCAUUGAAUGUUGAAAAAUUCUUGGAUGAGUUGUGGAUAGGGGUGAAAGGCCAAUCAAACUCCGUGAUAGCUCGUUCUCUCCGAAAUAGCUUUAGGGCUAGCCUCAUAGCAUAUGUAUGGGAGGUAGAUCACUGGAUGGACUAGGGCCCAGAGAUGGGUACUGAAUCCAACUAAAAUCCGAAUACCCAUAACAUUAGCGUGGGAGUCAGAACAUGGGGGAUAAGCUCCUUGUUCGAGAGGGAAACAGCCCAGAUCACCAGCUAAGGUCCCGAAAUUCAUACUAAGUGGAAAAGGAUGUAAAGAUACAAAGACAGCCAGGAGGUUGGCUUAGAAGCAGCCACCCUUUAAAGAAAGCGUAAUAGCUCACUGGUCGAGUGUUUUCGCGCCGAAGAUGUACCGGGGCUCAAGUAUGAUACCGAAGCUGUGGAAUUGUAGAAUUUAUUUUCUAUGAUUGGUAGGAGAGCAUUCCUGAUAGUAGAUCCAGAUCGUAAGGUUUGGUGGUGAUCAGGAAGCGACUCUGCCGGCAUAAGUAGUGAUUAUCCAGGUGAGAACCCUGGACGCCGAAAAUCUAAGGUUUCCUGAGCAAGGUCAGUCCGCUCAGGGUUAGUCGGGUCCUAAGGCGAGGCCGAAAGGCGUAGUCGAUGGAAAGCAGGUCAAUAUUCCUGCACCACUUAAAUAGCGUUAUUACGACGCGGGGACGCAGAAAGCUAGGCAGACCGUACCGUUGGUUGAGUACGGCCGAUUACAAGAAGGGAUCUUUUAAUAUGGAUUCAUUAACUUUGAGGAAGUCGGGGAAAUUCGGUUUUUACCGGAUGAACCUGUUGAUGUUAUACUGCCAAGAAAAGCCGCUAAGGAGUUGUUUAGGUGUCCGUACCGCAAACCGACACAGGUAGAUGGGAUGAGUAUUCUAAGGCGCACGUGUGAAAUUUCCUUAAGGAACUCGGCAAAUUAACUCCGUAACUUCGGAAGAAGGAGUGCCCCGAUAGAGUGAAGUUUAUACUGAGCUUGAGGGGGCCGCAGUGAAUAGGCCCAAACGACUGUUUAUCAAAAACACAGGACUAUGCUAAGACAAAAAAUCGAUGUAUAUGGUCUGACGCCUGCCCGGUGCUGGAAGGUUAAAUGGAACUGUUAUCUACUUCGGUAGAGAAGCUCUGAAAUGAAGCCCCAGUAAACCCGUAACUAUAACGGUCCUAAGGUAGCGAAAUUCCUUGUCGGGUAAGUUCCGACCCGCACGAAAGGCGUAACGAUUUGGGCACUGUCUCAAGGAGAUGCACGACGAAAUUGUAGUACCGGUAAAGAUGCCGGUUACCCGCUGCUGGACAGAAAGACCCCGUGAACCUUUACUGCAACCUAAUAUUGAAUUUUGGUGCAGUAUGUGCAGGAUAGGUGGGAGGCUUUGAAGUGGUAACGCUAGUUAUCAUGGAGCCAUCCUUGGGAUACCACCCUUAUUGUAUUGGAAUUCUAACUUGUGUAGUUAACCUACAUGAAAACAGUGUUAGGCGGGUAGUUUGACUGGGGCGGUCGCCUCCCAAAGAGUAACGGAGGCGCCCAAAGGUAUACUCAAGCUGUUUGGAAAUCAGCUGUAGAGUGCAAAGGCAUAAGUAUGCUUAACUGUGAGAGAGACAUUUCGAACAGAUGGGAAACCAGGGCUUAGUGAUCCGGUGGUUCCGCAUGGAAGGGCCAUCGCUCAACGGAUAAAAGGUACUCCGGGGAUAACAGGCUUAUAGCGUCCAAGAGCUCAUAUCGACGACGCUGUUUGGCACCUCGAUGUCGGCUCAUCACAUCCUGGGGCUGGAGCAGGUCCCAAGGGUUCGGCUGUUCGCCGAUUAAAGUGGUACGUGAGCUGGGUUUAAAACGUCGUGAGACAGUUUGGUCCCUAUCUU
RNAcentral lists this ribosomal RNA (2425 nucleotides) under marine sediment metagenome. RNAcentral's name for it is "bacterial LSU rRNA". It matches the Rfam family "Bacterial large subunit ribosomal RNA", at positions 278 to 2644 of the family's 2925-position model. The record is from RNAcentral.